UAAACUACGAUUAGAUACCCUAUUAUUUUCUAUGAAUUUUAACUCCUUAGUAGUAAGUAAUGUAUUAUGAAACUAAAAGAAUUUGGCGGCAAUUUAAUUUUUUAGAGGAACUUGUUCCGUAAUCGAUAAUCCUCGCUUAAUAUACUUAAGCAUAAUAGCUUAUAUACCGUUGUUAUAAGAAUAUGUUUUUAGACUAUUUUCUUGAUAUCGUUAAGAUAUAAUUUCAGAUCAAGGUUUAGUUUAUACUUAAGAGAGAAUGAGUUACAAUAAGGGUAUUUAUACGGAAUUUUUUAUUAUAAAAAGAGGAAGGUGGAUUUGAGAGUAAAAAGAUAAUUAAGGUUAGUUGAAGUUAAGUCUAAUUUGUGCACACAUCGCCCGUCGCUCUUA
Molecule: ribosomal RNA, 387 nt
Filed under: Zorotypus novobrittanicus
Lineage: Eukaryota; Metazoa; Arthropoda; Insecta; Zoraptera; Zorotypidae
Description: partial 12S ribosomal RNA
Source: RNAcentral